GAUGAACGCUGGCGGCGUGCCUAAUACAUGCAAGUCGAGCGAACAGACGAGGAGCUUGCUCCUCUGACGUUAGCGGCGGACGGGUGAGUAACACGUGGAUAACCUACCUAUAAGACUGGGAUAACUGCGGGAAACCGGAGCUAAUACCGGAUAAUAUAUUGAACCGCAUGGUUCAAUAGUGAAAGACGGUUUUGCUAUCACUGAUAGUUGGAUCCGCGCCGCAUUAGCUAGUUGGUAAGGUAACGGCUUACCAAGGCAACGAUGCGUAGCCGACCUGAGAGGGUGAUCGGCCACACUGGAACUGAGACACGGUCCAGACUCCUACGGGAGGCAGCAGUAGGGAAUCUUCCGCAAUGGGCGAAAGCCUGACGGAGCAACGCCGCGUGAGUGAUGAAGGUCUUCGGAUCGUAAAACUCUGUUAUUAGGGAAGAACAAAUGUGUAAGUAACUAUGCACGUCUUGACGGUACCUAAUCAGAAAGCCACGGCUAACUACGUG
Molecule: ribosomal RNA, 497 nt
Filed under: uncultured bacterium
Lineage: Bacteria
Description: partial 16S ribosomal RNA
Rfam family: Bacterial small subunit ribosomal RNA
Source: RNAcentral